Molecule: ribosomal RNA, 1721 nt
Filed under: Rotylenchulus reniformis
Lineage: Eukaryota; Metazoa; Nematoda; Chromadorea; Rhabditida; Hoplolaimidae
Description: SSU rRNA
Rfam family: Eukaryotic small subunit ribosomal RNA
Source: RNAcentral
GAAACUGCGAAUGGCUCAUUACACCAGCCUUAAUUUACUUGACCUUGACACCCUACUUGGAUAACUGUGGUAAUUCUAGAGCUAAUACAUGCACCAAAGCUCCAAUCUCCCCAGAGCGGAGCGCAUUUGUUCGCCACAAAACCAAGCGCCUCAGGGCGUUCAGUGUUGACUCAGAACAACUAAGCUGAUCGCACGGUCUUGCACCGGCGACGUGUCUUUCAAGUGUCUGCCCUAUCAACUUUCGAUGGUAGUGUAUCUGACUACCAUGGUGAUGACGGGUAACGGAGGAUAAGGGUUCGACUCCGGAGAAGGGGCCUGAGAAAUGGCCACUACGUCUAAGGAUGGCAGCAGGCGCGCAAAUUACCCACUCUCGACGCGAGGAGGUAGUGACGAGAAAUAACGAGACCGUUCUCAUCUGAGGCCGGUCAUCGGAAUGGGUACAAUUUAAACCCUUUAACGAGUAUCUAUGAGAGGGCAAGUCUGGUGCCAGCAGCCGCGGUAAUUCCAGCUCUCAAAAUGCAUAGAAUUAUUGCUGCGGUUAAAAAGCUCGUAGUUGGAUCUGUGCUGAGCGACCGGUCUGCCCACUGGGCACGCACUGGCUCGCCCGGCUUUCCCUGCCGGUCUCUCUCUGACGUUGGUUUUAACCGGCUGGCGUCAGUGGGCUGGCGAGUUCACUUUGAACAAAUCAGAGUGCUUCAAACAGGCGUCUCGCCUGAAUGUUCGUGCAUGGAAUAAUAGAAGAGGAUCACGGUCCGAUUUUAUUGGUUUUGCUGACCGAGAUAAUGGUUAACAGAGACAAACGGGGCCAUUCGUAUUGCUACGUGAGAGGUGAAAUUCUUGGACCGUAGCAAGACGGACUACAGCGAAAGCAUUUGGCAAGAAUGUCUUCAUUAAUCAAGAACGAAAGUCAGAGGUUCGAAGGCGAUCAGAUACCGCCCUAGUUCUGACCGUAAACGAUGCCAACUAGCGAUCCGCCGGCGGAUUCAUUCGCCCUGGUGGGGAGCUUCCCGGAAACGAAAGUCUUCCGGUUCCGGGGGAAGUAUGGUUGCAAAGCUGAAACUUAAAGGAAUUGACGGAAGGGCACCACCAGGAGUGGAGCCUGCGGCUUAAUUUGACUCAACACGGGGAAACUCACCCGGCCCGGACACCGUAAGGAUUGACAGAUUGAUAGCUUUUUCAUGAUUCGGUGGAUGGUGGUGCAUGGCCGUUCUUAGUUCGUGGAGCGAUUUGUCUGGUUUAUUCCGAUAACGAGCGAGACUCUGGCCUACUAAAUAGUUGGCACAUUGCCAUUGUGUGCCCAACUUCUUAGAGGGAUUUUCGGUGUUCAGCCGCACGAAAUUGAGCAAUAACAGGUCUGUGAUGCCCUUAGAUGUCCGGGGCUGCACGCGCGCUACACUGGCAAAAUCAGCGUGCUUGUCCUCCCCCGAAAGGGGUUGGUAAACCGAUGAAAAUUUGCCGUGAUUGGGAUCGGACAUUGCAAUUAUUGCCCGUGAACGAGGAAUCCCUUGUAAGGGCGAGUCAUCAACUCGUCCUGAAUACGUCCCUGCCCUUUGUACACACCGCCCGUCGCUGCCCGGGACUGAGCCAUUUCGAGAAAACCGGGGAUUGUUGGCCUGACGGCUCUCGGGUCGUCUAGCCGAUGAGAACCGGCUUAAUCGCACUGGUUUGAACCGGGCAAAAGUCGUAACAAGGUAGCUGUAGGUGAACCUGCGGCAGGAUCA